RNAcentral lists this long non-coding RNA (1775 nucleotides) under Citrus sinensis (sweet orange). RNAcentral describes it as "long non-coding RNA (CSIN_LNC000593)". The record is from RNAcentral. Lineage: Eukaryota; Viridiplantae; Streptophyta; Magnoliopsida; Sapindales; Rutaceae.
AUAAUCCUCCCACAUGCUAGCUAUCUCUCCCAGACUAGCUUCUGAAAUGUUUAAGUGCUCUGGCAGCUGUACUGAGUUCAUUAGGAAGAUCUUUUAUGACUUACAUCAUUAGCCAAAGAGUUAUUUAAAUUAUCUUCAUCAAAACCAUCAGAAGAGUUGCUGCAGGCAAAGAAAGUAGAAAACAGACCACAGAAUUCGAUUGUUAAGACAUUGAUGCAGAGACAAACAGCUAACAUCCAAAAUGGGAAAGGGAGGAACCUAGAAUCUUGCCAAAAUGACCGUUUAUCAAGAUAUGGAACUACAAUAGUGGCAUUUAUGAUACAAGCUACAGCUACCAUGUCGCAUAUCUGCAACUCAAACAUUUAGACUAUAACUCAGCUCUCAAUAAUAGCCACAAAAUAUAUUUAGCAAAGCAGUUGACGCUAAGCAAGAGGAAACAGAAAAACAUAUAUUAGAAAAACUACUUUUUUUAUAGUUAGUGGACCAAACACUAGAAGACGCACCAAUCAACUAAACUAACACCUUUUGCAUUUAAAUUGUCUAAAAUACUAUCAAUAGAAGGAGGAAACGUAGCAGGAAAAGCAAAGCAAUUUCAAGCAGUAAGCUUAUAGAUGGUUAAUGAGAAAAGUAUUCUAAGUGAGUACAACAGAUAAAUAUUUGUAGUUCAUCCAAUCCGACACUCACAGAUAGGAACCAGGUUAUGCUUAUGCAAAAAAAAAUACAAAUACAUUAUAUUCAUACUUUUAGUACUAAUGAUAAUAAUCAUAUCUAGAUGAUAUUAACCUAAAAUGAAGAAAUAUAAAAAGAUGCAUAAAUGGUUUCUGCUGUUCUCUUUUAACCAAUGUAUGAAUCAAUUUCCAAAAAUAUGUAAACGAAUAAACAUUAAAAUAGAACUCAGAAACGGACAUUAUAACAGGUCAAAAUGGAAUCAUUCACUGAAGCAUUCCAGGUGUAUAUUUUGUAACUUCUCAAUUCACCAUAUCAGAAAAUAAAGAGCUUCCUAGCAAUGGGAUAAUUACACAGACAAAAUGGAAACUUAUGGAUAGACGAAAACAAAAAUACAAACCUGAGCACGCAUCUGGUUGAAUCCAGUUAGCCAUCUGAUGUUGUCUCCAGUAAAUCUCCUAUACAUUUUCCUUACAGAUUAAAUAUUUUGUCCAAGAGAAGUAAGGUUCAAAAUCCAAACAACAACUUCAAAAUCAGUGAAAUCAAACGACAAAUAAGCUUCAAAAUUUAACUAAUUCGUUACCAAAACCCACUGAAACGCUAAAUAGAGAUAAUCUUUAUUUGAUCAAAUUAAGUCACUCACUUCAACCUAUUAAAUAAGAGAUAAGAAAUAACAAUAUGAACAAAUACCUAGGGUUUAUUCAAGAAAAACUCCAGCGCUGAAAAAAGGGCUAGGAAUUCUUUAAUAAGGACAACGACGCGACAGCUGCAGGCUCGACUUUGUCCGUCAAAAGGACAUAGCAUGGCGGCGGCAAGGAACGGCUAUCAUCGGCUCAAAAUAAUGGCAACAAGGAACAACGGUGUAAAUCAAACGGCUAUCAUCGGCGAGUCAAUGACCGGCCAAAAUGACGGUGAGAACGGCCGGAUUCGUAGGGGAAUUUCAGUGAGACCUUCAAGCUGUCCAAGUUGUUUUCCGAUCAAUCAUUUUAGUGGCUGUAAUUUUUUUUUUUUUCCCCCGUGGUUUCUUCUAAUUUGAUGUAGAGUUUUGCUUUAUUUGAGUUUUAGGGUCAGUGGAGAGCGAGGGAAUCAAUUGUGUUAAGAGAAGGAAG